AGUGAACGCUGGCGGUAUGCCUAACACAUGCAAGUCGAACGGCAGCACCUUAAGAGCUUUCUCUUACGGGUGGCGAGUGGCGGACGGGUGAGGAAUACAUCGGAAUCUACUUUUUCGUGGGUGAUAACGUAGGGACACUUCCGCUAAUACCUCAUACGUCCUACGGGUGGGUGCAGGAGAUCUUGGGACCUUUCCUGAUAGAUUUAGCUGAUUUCGGAUUAGCUAGUUGGCGGGGUAAAGGCCCACCAAGGCGACGAUCCGUAGCUGGUCUGAGAGGAUGAUCAGCCACACUGGAACUGAGACACGGUCCAGACUCCUACGGGAGGCAGCAGUAGGGAAUAUUGGACAAUGGGCGAAAGCCUGAUCCAGCCAUACCGCGUGGGUGAAGAAGGCCUUCGGGUUGUAAAGCUCUUUUGUUGGGAAAGAAAAGCAGCAGGUUAAUAUCCCGCUGUUCUGACGGUACCCAAAGAAUAAGCACCGGCUAACUUCGUG
RNAcentral lists this ribosomal RNA (492 nucleotides) under uncultured bacterium. Its description in RNAcentral is "partial 16S ribosomal RNA". It matches the Rfam family "Bacterial small subunit ribosomal RNA", at positions 29 to 507 of the family's 1533-position model. The record is from RNAcentral.